Molecule: ribosomal RNA, 484 nt
Filed under: uncultured Rhodococcus sp.
Lineage: Bacteria; Bacillati; Actinomycetota; Actinomycetes; Mycobacteriales; Nocardiaceae
Description: bacterial SSU rRNA
Rfam family: Bacterial small subunit ribosomal RNA
Source: RNAcentral
CGUGGGUGAUCUGCCCUGCACUCUGGGAUAAGCUUGGGAAACUGGGUCUAAUACCGGAUAUGACCACAGCAUGCAUGUGUUGUGGUGGAAAGAUUUAUCGGUGCAGGAUGGGCCCGCGGCCUAUCAGCUUGUUGGUGGGGUAAUGGCCUACCAAGGCGACGACGGGUAGCCGACCUGAGAGGGUGACCGGCCACACUGGGACUGAGACACGGCCCAGACUCCUACGGGAGGCAGCAGUGGGGAAUAUUGCACAAUGGGCGGAAGCCUGAUGCAGCGACGCCGCGUGAGGGAUGAAGGCCUUCGGGUUGUAAACCUCUUUCAGCAGGGACGAAGCGUGAGUGACGGUACCUGCAGAAGAAGCACCGGCUAACUACGUGCCAGCAGCCGCGGUAAUACGUAGGGUGCGAGCGUUGUCCGGAAUUACUGGGCGUAAAGAGUUCGUAGGCGGUUUGUCGCGUCGUUUGUGAAAACCCGGGGCUCAACU